Molecule: RNA transcript, 1864 nt
Organism: Paramacrobiotus metropolitanus
Lineage: Eukaryota; Metazoa; Tardigrada; Eutardigrada; Parachela; Macrobiotidae
Exons: 4
Source: RefSeq, a predicted model, not a curated record
CCGCGCGGUUGUAUUUACGCAUUUUUUUGAAGAGUUUUGGAGACUUUUCAUAACGAGAAACCAAGUCAGUUGGACAUACGUUGUAUCUUCUCUAAAUCUGCUGCUUGAACCUUCUUGAUUUUGGCUUUCGCAAGUGACCAGUUCGUUAAAAAUUUUGCAGCGUUACAAUUAAUUAUAGCUUUUAAAAUCUAGUGAUCACAGAUGGAUUCAUAAUGUAUGCGCGUAGCGUUCGCCGCUACGAUGGUGUUGUGAGUUAAUUCCCUUUGUUACUUUGUAGAAAUUAUUGAUAAGGAUUAUCCAGAUCAUAUUUCUGAAUGUCUUUAACUUCGAGUUCGAAUUAUCGUUUGUGCUUCCCAUAGUGAUGUAUAUUUGCUGAGCUUGAUGCCCGUAUUAUUCGUUUUGCAUCUGCAUUUGUACUGAAGACAUGGCUCUGUCGCUGCCUGGAUCGGAAGAAGGGUCGUCCGUAUUCGACGACACUGUGGCUUUGGUUCCGCAGGACCCCAGUCUGGUUCUUCCCGUUGGUUUCUGUUCCUCCACAGAUUUUUUCAAUUUCUCUUCCAGUUCCUUGGAAGUGGAUACCUUUCUGAACCAGAUGUCUUCCUCAGAAAACCCUAUGACCCGACGUCCGAGGGGCCGUCCGAAGGGGACAACGUGGGCAGCUGGAUACAAAGUCAGCGGUGGACGGCCCAAAAAAGGAUCUGCAAAAGAUAGUCCAUCGGACGCAAAUCACACAGCUGCAGCUGUUAAUGUGACUUCCGAUGUGUUCGGAGUUAGUAGUGGCCAGCACAUUCCACGGCCUCCGAAACCAGUGGGACCUCGUGGACGUCCUAAAGGGUCCACUCGGGCGAACGGUUACAAGGUGUCCAGUGGCCGGCCGGUUGGAACCACACGCGAUAACGGUUAUCGCGUCUCCACGGGUAGACCGUCGGGUACAACGCGCGUCCGUGGUUGCAAAGUGUCACCGGGAAGACCAAAGAAGGAUGCCAGUCGGCAGGUGAAAACGGAGUUUUCGAUGGGACAAUCCGAUGCGGGGAUUUAUCUGCCUAUUCAGGUGACGGACAUUUCCCCCAGUAUGACGGUGGUGCCGGCGUUUGUGCAUUUUUUUGACGGACAUCAUCCGGAGUACCUGUAACAUCGCUCACUUUGAUCUGUAUAUAUUGCUUGUACAGUACAAGUUGUUUUUAUUGAUGAACUGCACCAAAGUUUUUCCCAAGCUAGUGAUUUCGCUAGGAUUCCGUGAUUUCUUGUGGCUUCUCAAAAUCAGCCUCCUGCCGAAGCCGCAAUUCUUCGGUCGCCGUGAGGAGCGGCUUGAGAAUAUUGUAAAAACAUUGGAGAUGGCGUCUGGUGUUGGGCAGUAACCGAAUAGUCUGCCGCCCUUCUGAAGGUACUGGAGCAUCGGCCAGUGGUUUCAACGUUUUAUACGCCAACACAUGUACCGCCUUUGCAUAAAUUCGAAGGAAAUGCUUCGACGUCCGGAAGUCGACGUUUGCGUCGGUAACAUCGUCCACUAGUGCUGCUAUUAACAAAGGUCGCAAAUAUUAGCGCAGAUGUUAAUAAGUUGUUUAAUCUGUGAAAACAACACGCAGAGAUAAUGCACUCUAUAGUGUUUAUACAAAAUUGUUCUAACGGUAAGAAGGAAAAUUUGCACGCAAAUACAUAUAAUAAUGCAUAUCUAUAAUAUUUGGAAAUAUAUAUAAACGAUUUUUUUCGUUGCUUUUAUUUUUUUAACGAUUUGGUGUCGUUGCUAAUUUUUUUUCGUUGCUAGUUUUAUGAGAAUACUUUGUUUCAGAAUUCAGAGUAAACACUGCGUGGCGUGUAGCGCCUAAAAUGCAUGGCUUCUCUAGCAUAAACUUGUUAGUCAAAG